ACGAACGCUGGCGGCGUGCUUAACACAUGCAAGUCGAACGGAAAGGCCCCUUUGGGGGUACUCGAGUGGCGAACGGGUGAGUAACACGUGAGUAACCUGCCCUUGACUUCGGGAUAACGUCAGGAAACUGGGGCUAAUACCGGAUAGGAAUCCUUGCUGCAUGGUGGGGGUUGGAAAGCUUCGGCGGUUUUGGAUGGACUCGCGGCUUAUCAGCUUGUUGGUGGGGUAGUGGCUUACCAAGGCUUUGACGGGUAGCCGGCCUGAGAGGGCGACCGGCCACAUUGGGACUGAGAUACGGCCCAGACUCCUACGGGAGGCAGCAGUGGGGAAUAUUGCACAAUGGGCGGAAGCCUGAUGCAGCAACGCCGCGUGCGGGAUGACGGCCUUCGGGUUGUAAACCGCUUUCAGCAGGGGCGAAGCUUGUGGUGACGGUACCUGCAGAAGAAGCACCGGCUAACUACGUG
This 464-nucleotide ribosomal RNA is filed under the name uncultured bacterium. RNAcentral describes it as "partial 16S ribosomal RNA". It matches the Rfam family "Bacterial small subunit ribosomal RNA", at positions 29 to 507 of the family's 1533-position model. The record is from RNAcentral.